CCCUCUGUGGAGGUCUGCUGCUGCGGCCCCGCCAGGGCUGACCAUCAUUCGGCUCUUCAACCCUAAAUAAUUGGUGCUCGCCUGUACAGGCGUUCAAUCCCCUCCCCAGGGCUUCCGCCCGCCUGUUCCCCUUGCGGCCAUGGCUGCCGCUAAAGCAACACCUGUCGCCGCCAACCAGCUGCCUCCCCCUGUGUCUCACCGCCCCCGUGGGUGGGCAGGCGUGCUUCCCCGCCCAUCAAGCGACGGAUGCACGUUGUAGCCUCGCCCCAGCUCGUCCCUGCCCCAGUUCCGGGGGGUGGCCCGGGGUGCUGCAACUUUUG
Molecule: non-coding RNA, 320 nt
Filed under: Chlorella sp. CH2018
Lineage: Eukaryota; Viridiplantae; Chlorophyta; Trebouxiophyceae; Chlorellales; Chlorellaceae
Source: RNAcentral